AAAAAAGUUUUCAAAAUGUCGUAACGAUUUAAUUUUUUAAAUCGUUUUUUUUUUGUCUUGGUAAAGUUUAUUAUUAAAAAUCAGCAUGCCUCGAAGAUCGAAAAUGAAAUGCUAUUUCGGAUGCCUUGAUAACGACAAAGGUUUGAUAAUGACAAAAUUUUAUGGAAAAAUUAUAAGGAGCACUAAAAUGUCUGAAACAUGAAAAGAUUGAUGCACUAUAUUUGAACCAGAACGUGUUAUGUAAUAUAUUAAUUUAAGAGAAACUGAUUCAGCAAGGAACGUGAACUCUCAAGGGAUCUUAAUUUUUUUUAAAUAUGUUUAUAAUUUAUAAAUUAAUAAUUGAAAUAGUUCAUAACAACUAAAUUGAUGCCAAUUUUGUUUUAAAAUAGGUUGUUUAGUUCUUAUAGUUAUAGUAUUACGUUUGAAUAGUUGUAAUUAGUAAGUUAGUAAUAUAUGAAAAUACUGAUAUAAAUUUUUGUAAAUAACUUUUUGUAAAUUCUACGAGAAGAUGAUUUUAAUUAAUGAUCAAAAGUCAACGGUCUUCAAAAGCAUUAUUUGCAAUUAUUUAGAUUAACUGUGGAAUAUAUUUGCUAAGUUGUGUUUUCUGUAUGAGCAGAUAUAAAUGAAAAUGCCCAAACAUGA
Long non-coding RNA from Bombyx mori (domestic silkworm), 642 nucleotides. RefSeq lists it as uncharacterized. The record is from RefSeq and is a predicted model, not a curated record. The transcript has 4 exons. Lineage: Eukaryota; Metazoa; Arthropoda; Insecta; Lepidoptera; Bombycidae.